This 858-nucleotide ribosomal RNA is filed under the name uncultured bacterium. RNAcentral's name for it is "bacterial SSU rRNA". It matches the Rfam family "Bacterial small subunit ribosomal RNA", at positions 33 to 919 of the family's 1533-position model. The record is from RNAcentral.
ACGCUAGCGGCGUGCUUUAUGCAUGCAGUCGAACGGUCUCGAUUUAUCGAGAUAGUGGCAAACGGGUGAGUAACGCGUAAGUAACCUGCCCUUAAGUAGGGGAUAACUCCGAGAAAUUGGAGCUAAUACCGCAUGUGGUGGUGGAGGUAAGGCUCCAUCACUAAAGCCUUCGGGCGCUUAAGGAGGGGCUUGCGUCCGAUUAGCUAGUUGGUAGGGUAACGGUUUACCAAGGCGAUGAUCGGUAGCUGGUUUGAGAGGACGGCCAGCCACACUGGGACUGAGACACGGCCCAGACUCCUACGGGAGGCAGCAGCAAGGAAUUUUGUGCAAUGGGCGAAAGCCUGACACAGCAACGCCGCGUGGGGGAUGAAUGCCUUCGGGUUGUAAACCCCUUUUCUCAGGGAAGAAUAAUGACGGUACCUGAGGAAUAAGCCUCGGCUAACUACGUGCCAGCAGCCGCGGUAAUACGUAGGAGGCGAGCGUUAUCCGGAUUUACUGGGCGUAAAGGGAGCGCAGGUGGUUCUUCAAGUCGGAUGUAAAAUCUCCCGGCUUAACUGGGAGCGAUCAUUCGAUACUGUUGGACUAGAGGACAGCAGAGGGAGGUGGAAUUCCCGGUGUAGUGGUGAAAUGCGUAGAUAUCGGGAGGAACACCAGUGGCGAAGGCGGCCUCCUGGGCUGUUUCUGACACUGAGGCCCGAAAGCGUGGGGAGCGAACAGGAUUAGAUACCCUGGUAGUCCACGCUGUAAACUAUGGACACUAGGUACAGGGAGUAUCGACCCUUUCUGCGCCGAAGCUAACGCAUUAAGUGUCCCGCCUGGGACUACGCCGCAAGGCUAAAACUCAAAGAAUGAUGCCGC